AGUGAACGCUGGCGGUAGGCCUAACACAUGCAAGUCGAACGGCAGCACAGUAAGAGCUUGCUCUUACGGGUGGCGAGUGGCGGACGGGUGAGGAAUACAUCGGAAUCUACUUUUUCGUGGGGGAUAACGUAGGGAAACUUACGCUAAUACCGCAUACGACCUACGGGUGAAAGCAGGGGAUCUUCGGACCUUGCGCGAUUGAAUGAGCCGAUGUCGGAUUAGCUAGUUGGCGGGGUAAGGGCCCACCAAGGCGACGAUCCGUAGCUGGUCUGAGAGGAUGAUCCGCCAACCUUGAACUGAGACACGGUCCAGACUCCUACGGGAGGCAGCAGUGGGGAAUAUUGGACAAUGGGCGCAAGCCUGAUCCAGGCAUACCGCGUGGGUGAAGAAGGCCUUCGGGUUGUAAAGCCCCUUUGUUGGGAAAGAAAAGCAGCAGGUUAAUACCCCGCUGUUCUGACGGUACCCAAAGAAUAAGCACCGGCUAACUUCGUG
This 492-nucleotide ribosomal RNA is filed under the name uncultured bacterium. RNAcentral's name for it is "partial 16S ribosomal RNA". It matches the Rfam family "Bacterial small subunit ribosomal RNA", at positions 29 to 507 of the family's 1533-position model. The record is from RNAcentral.